UACGUAGGGUGCGAGCGUUAAUCGGAAUUACUGGGCGUAAAGUGUGCGCAGGCGGCCGCGCAAGUCGAGUGUGAAAGCCCCGGGCUUAACUUGGGAAUUGCGCUCGAAACUACGUGGCUGGAGUAUGGCAGAGGAAGGUGGAAUUCCACGUGUAGCGGUGAAAUGCGUAGAGAUGUGGAGGAACACCGAUGGCGAAGGCAGCCUUCUGGGCCGAAACUGACGCUGAGGAGCGAAAGCGUGGGGAGCAAACAGG
This 253-nucleotide ribosomal RNA is filed under the name uncultured bacterium. Its description in RNAcentral is "partial 16S ribosomal RNA". It matches the Rfam family "Bacterial small subunit ribosomal RNA", at positions 524 to 776 of the family's 1533-position model. The record is from RNAcentral.